UCAGUCGACUCCUACGGGAGGCAGCAGUGGGGAAUAUUGCACAAUGGGGGAAGCCCUGAUGCAGCCAUGCCGCGUGUGUGAAGAAGGCCUUCGGGUUGUAAAGCACUUUCAGUAGGGAGGAAGGUAGUGUAGUUAACACCUGCACUAUUUGACGUUACCUACAGAAGAAGCACCGGCUAACUCCGUGCCAGCAGCCGCGGUAAUACGGAGGGUGCGAGCGUUAAUCGGAAUUACUGGGCGUAAAGCGCAUGCAGGCGGCCUGUUAAGUCAGAUGUGAAAGCCCCGGGGCUUAACCUCGGAAUUGCAUUUGAAACUGGCAGGCUAGAGUCUUGUAGAGGGGGUAGAAUUUCAGGUGUAGCGGUGAAAUGCGUAGAGAUCUGAAGGAAUACCAGUGGCGAAGGCGGCCCCCUGGACAAAGACUGACGCUCAGAUGCGAAAGCGUGGGGAGCAAACAGGAUUAGAUACCCUGGUAG
Molecule: ribosomal RNA, 473 nt
Filed under: uncultured bacterium
Lineage: Bacteria
Description: bacterial SSU rRNA
Rfam family: Bacterial small subunit ribosomal RNA
Source: RNAcentral